Non-coding RNA from Dama dama (fallow deer), 579 nucleotides. NCBI's taxonomy places the organism in Eukaryota, Metazoa, Chordata, Mammalia, Artiodactyla, Cervidae. The record is from the annotation of a RefSeq genome assembly.
AAGAGUCAAGAACGUUCUUCAGGAGACACUCUAGAGAUGAGCUCUUCUCCAGGAUUAGUGACUGUGAUACUCUUCCUGCUGGGACAAACCCGUGGAGACUCAGUGAGCCAGAUGGACGGCCAAGUGACCCUUUUGGAAGGGGCUACCUUGACUGUGAACUGUACUUAUUCAGCCACCGGGUACCCCUUUCUUUUCUGGUAUGUCCAGUAUCCUGGAGAAGGUCCAGAACUCUUCCUGAAAGCCAUGAAGGCUAAUGACAAGGAAACCAGCAAAGGUUUUGAAGCCACAUACAACGCAAAAACCACCUCCUUCCACUUGGAGAAAGCCUCAGUCCAGGAGUCAGACUCGGCUGUGUACUACUGCGCUCUGAGAGACACAGUGACGGGAACUGCAGGGGGAGCUGAGGGCAAACUGAGCAGCAACGGGGCCUGGAUGCACUGUGGUUCCCACAGAGCCUGUGGUUGUCUGUCUCUUAGUCUCUGGUUGAUACAAAAAACGUACAAAUGGCUAAAGCAUAAGAAUAAGAAGAGAAUAUUCCCCAUACCCAACUCUUUACUAGUAAAACUGAAAACUCUCUGA